GGGGCAGCUUUCCUGACUGCUCGGAGACAAAGCCUCCGACCCAGUCUGUCCCACGCCCGACCAUGGCUUUAUUAUUCUUCUGAAUGGUCUCCUGACCUGUGAAACAACACACCUCGGCAGUGCUCACUCAUGACGAAGGCUCGUUGUGCUCUCUCAUGGCUUCAUUUGAAGCCCGUGGCCUACACUACCUCAUCACGAUGCCAACAAGGUUGCCUUCCUGGCUUGACUGUGCCUGGCUCAACUUUCCCAAGAUUCAGUGUGGACCUCCCCGUGGGGACCAGGCCAACAAACGAUGGACUCCCGCAUGCUGUUGGCCUCAUGUCCCCUCGGGAGGUGUGGAGUGUCCUGACACCUCUCCUCUAUGAGUCAGGAGAGCCAGGCUACACUCAGACUCUCAUUCCGUGACUCG
Panthera uncia (snow leopard) is the source of this 409-nucleotide long non-coding RNA. RefSeq lists it as uncharacterized. The record is from RefSeq and is a predicted model, not a curated record. The transcript has 3 exons. Lineage: Eukaryota; Metazoa; Chordata; Mammalia; Carnivora; Felidae.